This is a long non-coding RNA of Alligator mississippiensis (American alligator), 718 nucleotides long. RefSeq lists it as uncharacterized. The transcript is spliced from 3 exons. The record is from RefSeq and is a predicted model, not a curated record. Lineage: Eukaryota; Metazoa; Chordata; Crocodylia; Alligatoridae.
UGCAGCUGGCUCAGGAGCGGAACAUGGGGGCUGCUGCCGGUAGCACUGACACUGUCCGGUAGCCUGAGAGGAUAGGAAGUGAAUCAGAGUGCCGUCUAUAGCUGAAAAUGCAGAGAAAAGGAUGCAUGCAAAAGAUGGAGCAGCUUUCCCUUCUCUUCGGUACUCUCAGCCUCUGAACCACUUUCCUGUGCUCCCUUUGCAUGCAGUUGUUGUAGCAAGGAUGUGAAAAAGAUGUUGCAGAUCCUUUCGGUUUUUAAAGUAGGGGGGAAGAGAAUCCCCAAAACAGCAAAUCCUGCAUAUAUUCGAGGCUUCUUGGAUUCAGUUCACAAAUUCUCUUUGGAUAAACCUAAUGCACUUUGGAGCACAUUCGAUUGGCAUCCCUGCGGAGAGAAGGCUUAACAGGGCAAAUGUGUCACACUGUUACUGCAAUGCUUCUUCUAAAAAAGAGUAGGCCCUUACUGUACUCUGCCUCUGGGGGUAAUGAGGAUAUCUGUGGUGACUCAUACAGAUGUAUUGCUUUAGAAAGUUAUAAAAUAGCACUUCAAAAGAUGGCAGAGUGACAUUAGGACUAGGGGACUUUUCAAACUAUUUAUCCAAGUAUAUGCAGUUUCCAUGUCAAGGGGAGUUGAAUCUAUAAUAGAUAUCACUGAGCAAAGAAAGUUAAUCCUUAUCUAAACAGCUUUAUUACGCCAAACAUUAAAAAAAAUCCAUUGGUAUA